Molecule: non-coding RNA, 1985 nt
Organism: Misgurnus anguillicaudatus (oriental weatherfish)
Lineage: Eukaryota; Metazoa; Chordata; Actinopteri; Cypriniformes; Cobitidae
Source: RefSeq, a predicted model, not a curated record
UUAUUUUAAUUUAAUUUGUCAAAAUACAUGCUUUAAUAAAUGAUGACUUUCAAAAUCUUUAUUCAUUUGUCAAAUUGAAAUGUGUCUGUCAUCUUAUGUAUUAGAGGUCGACCGAUAUGGCUUUUUCUCUGGCCGAUGCCGAUGUUUAGAAAUCAGGGCAGCCGAUGGCCGAUAUGUUUGGCUGAUUUUCUACAUGUACAUAAUAAUCAAAAUGUUCUCAUCAUUAGCAGAUAUUUUAAAUGUAAAAAUGUCACUAUUUAAGUCAAAGUAUUUAAAAAAAUUAUGACUGGUCUUUCUGAAGAGUUUUACAAGCUCCUCUGCACCAUGCAUUUAUCAGACACAGAUAUUACCUGACACUCUGCUGUCAUCUUUGAUCAGUUUUUUUCCAUGGCUUUUAUUGCUUUGUAGGAUAAAAUCCUUAUAUGGUAGACCUGAUAAAUUAUUUAUUCAUCAUAAAGUUAACAUAGUAAAUGUCUAUGUUUUUUAGUUGAGACUGUUAUUUAGGGCAAAUCUUUCUAAACACAUUUACAUUAUCAUUUCUGAGGCGCUAUAAGUGACUGAUUGUGCUGACAGUGAUGUCUUGUCCCGCCAUCGUUUACUAAAGUUGUUUGUGAACAAGGCACGGCUGCACACACACGGGAGCUAUCUGCUUGCAGCAAGAGGCAGCGUCACGAGUUCUACAACAACGCUUAGGUGCCCGCAGAUGCGCUUGUCUAUUAUUCGGCCUAAUUUUGCAGCAAAAUCGGCCAAAGCCGAUUUUUAAAAAUAUGCCAAAAAUCGGUCGACCUCUAUUAUGUAUUGUACAUAGGGCUGGGUAUUGGCAAGGGCCUCCCGAUACGAUACGUAUCACGAUACAAUGCGUUGCAUGUUGUGAUACAUUGCAAUACUUUUUCUCUUUUUUAUCAAAAAUGUAAAAAAAAUAGAACUGAACACCUGCAGCUCUUUGAAAGCUGCAGGUGUUUUUAAAUUUUCUGCCAUUUUCUCACUCCCUCUAACUUCUGAGACAUUGGCCGUAUAUGGCAGACAACUGGACAGUGACAACUACAGCAGCGGCAGAGGAGGUCGUUUGACGCACACAGAAGAAUUUGAUUGGUUUUAAAAUAUCAAUAGUAGCGAUCGAAAUAUCGAUACACUUUCGAUACAGCCAACUAUCACGAUAGUUAGCUGUAUCGAUAUUUUUGCACAGCCCUAAUUGUACAGUAUUGUGACAUGUCUGUUUAUGUUGUUUAAGGAAGACUCCUACAAGGAACCAGUGAGAGCAUAGACUGUGAUAGUGACAUGGCAACACUGCCUUUACUGCUCCAUCUCCUUCCACCAUCACCUCAACGGAAUCAGUGCAUCAGAUUUGCAGUGAGCAGGCUUGUGGUGUAUCAUAAGUCUUGUACCAGCCUUGAAGAACAUCUUCAGCAACGAGUAGGAUGACAACCGUACCUUACUGCGGUUAGCAGGAUCUGCGGCCAGAUUUGAGAACUUUGACGUGGCUUUUGAUAAGAAUCUCACCCCGUCAGUCGGAAGGCUCCCUUUUAUUAGCAUUUGACUUUGUUUUUAAUGUAAUGUAUGAUGAUGGACUCCUUUACUUUAACUAAUUUAAUCAAACAACAGUUUACAUGUUGGGAAAACUAGAGAUUGAGAGCAAACUUUUUUUAACUAGCUGUAACUAGUAUCUCAUUUACGGUUUCAGCAUGCAUUUUAUCCUUGCCCAAAUUUCUAAUUAAUAUGUGCUGAAGAAAAUUGUGAUUACUUUUGUGAUGUAUUGUUUUACAGAAUGUUUAGUGAAAGAUUUGCUGUGAUUUGCCCUAGAUGUGUGUCAGACAUGGAUUUUAAAACACUUUUCCAGUUUUGUUUAAACUCCUUGGCAAAAUUGAAAGGACUGUAUACAUAACCACUCUCUGAAAAUUUUGAAAAAGUUCACAAGUGAAACUUUAUUUUUUUAUAAAUAUUUAAUAAUGUCAAAUAAAUUUGUUAAAUAAAUUUGUGGUCAAUAA